This 449-nucleotide ribosomal RNA is filed under the name Gigaspora rosea. Its description in RNAcentral is "SSU rRNA". It matches the Rfam family "Eukaryotic small subunit ribosomal RNA", at positions 569 to 1026 of the family's 1831-position model. Lineage: Eukaryota; Fungi; Glomeromycota; Glomeromycetes; Diversisporales; Gigasporaceae. The record is from RNAcentral.
AGCAGCCGCGGUAAUUCCAGCUCCAAUAGCGUAUAUUAAAGUUGUUGCAGUUAAAAAGCUCGUAGUUGAAUUUCGGGGUUCUACUGUUGGUCGGGCAAUUGUCUGUACUGGCAUGUGGAAUUUCUACCUUCUGGGGAACCAUCAUGUUAUUAAUUUAGCGUGGUGGGAAACCAGGACCUUUACCUUGAAAAAUUAGAGUGUUCAAAGCAGGCUUACGUCUGAAUACAUUAGCAUGGAAUAAUAAAAUAGGACGGUGGUCCUGUUUUGUUGGUUUCUGAAUCACCGUAAUGAUUAAUAGGGAUAGUUGGGGGCAUUAGUAUUCAAUUGUCAGAGGUGAAAUUCUUGGAUUUAUUGAAGACUAACUUCUGCGAAAGCAUUUGCCAAGGAUGUUUUCAUUAAUCAAGAACGAAAGUUAGGGGAUCGAAGACGAUCAGAUACCGUCGUAGUCU